Molecule: ribosomal RNA, 252 nt
Filed under: uncultured bacterium
Lineage: Bacteria
Description: partial 16S ribosomal RNA
Rfam family: Bacterial small subunit ribosomal RNA
Source: RNAcentral
UACAGAGGAGCCAAGCGUUGUCCGGAUUGACUGGGCGUAAAGCGCACGCAGGUGGUCGUGCACGUGUCGUGUGAAAGCAGCUCGCUCAACGAGCUGAGGCAUGGCAGACUGCAUGGCUCGAGCCCGUGAGAGGUCGGUGGAAUUGCCGGUGUAGUAGUGAAAUACGUAGAGAUCGGCAGGAACACCCAGGGGGAAGCCAGCCGACUGGCACGGUGCUGACACUGAGGUGCGACAGCGUGGGGAGCAAACGGG